CAGCCGCCGCGGUAAUACGUAGGUGGCAAGCGUUGUCCGGAAUUAUUGGGCGUAAAGCGCGCGCAGGCGGAUCAGUUAGUCUGUCUUAAAAGUUCGGGGCUUAACCCCGUGAGGGGAUGGAAACUGCUGAUCUAGAGUAUCGGAGAGGAAAGUGGAAUUCCUAGUGUAGCGGUGAAAUGCGUAGAUAUUAGGAAGAACACCAGUGGCGAAGGCGACUUUCUGGACGAAAACUGACGCUGAGGCGCGAAAGCCAGGGGAGCGAACGGGAUUAGAUACCGUGUAGUCCCUGUCUCUUAUACAC
RNAcentral lists this ribosomal RNA (301 nucleotides) under uncultured bacterium. Its description in RNAcentral is "partial 16S ribosomal RNA". It matches the Rfam family "Bacterial small subunit ribosomal RNA", at positions 509 to 810 of the family's 1533-position model. The record is from RNAcentral.